AGGAUGAACGCUGGCGGCGUGCCUAACACAUGCAAGUCGAACGUCCUGUCUCGCAAGAGGCAGGGAGUGGCGGACGGGUGAGUACCACGUGGGUCAUCUACCGUGAGGUGAGGAAUACCGGCGAGAAAUCGCCGACAAGACCGCAUAGGCUCGAUGCAAGUCGAGCAAAGCUCUCUCGAGAGAGGGAGCGCCACACGAGGAGCCUGCGCCCGAUUAGCUAGCUGGUGGAGUAACGGUUCACCAGGGCGACGAUCGGUAGCUGGUCUGAGAGGACGAUCAGCCACACUGGGAUUGAGAACGGCCCAGACUCCUACGGGGGGCAGCAGUGAGGAAUUUUCGUCAAUGGGGGCAACCCUGAACGAGCAACGCCGCGUGCAGGAAGAAGGUUUUCGGAUCGUAAACUGCUUUUCUCGGGGAAGAGAACGGACGGUACCCGAGGAAUCAGCCCGGCUAACUACGUGCCAGCAGCCGCGGU
Molecule: ribosomal RNA, 475 nt
Filed under: uncultured bacterium
Lineage: Bacteria
Description: SSU rRNA
Rfam family: Bacterial small subunit ribosomal RNA
Source: RNAcentral